AACGAACGCUGGCGGCAGGCUUAACACAUGCAAGUCGAACGCCCCGCAAGGGGAGUGGCAGACGGGUGAGUAACGCGUGGGAAUCUACCUAGUUCUACGGAACAACAGAGGGAAACUUCUGCUAAUACCGUAUACACCCUACGGGGGAAAGAUUUAUCGGAAUUAGAUGAGCCCGCGUAAGAUUAGCUAGUUGGUGGGGU
This 200-nucleotide ribosomal RNA is filed under the name uncultured bacterium. Its description in RNAcentral is "partial 16S ribosomal RNA". It matches the Rfam family "Bacterial small subunit ribosomal RNA", at positions 29 to 258 of the family's 1533-position model. The record is from RNAcentral.